This is a non-coding RNA of Peromyscus maniculatus bairdii (prairie deer mouse), 1527 nucleotides long. Lineage: Eukaryota; Metazoa; Chordata; Mammalia; Rodentia; Cricetidae. The record is from RefSeq and is a predicted model, not a curated record.
UGUGUUAUAAAUUAAAGCACCAUCUAUAAUCCUAAUAGCACCCUUUUCACCAAGAUGGCUUUGAAUGCUUAGGACAUCCCUGUCCUUCUCAAAGGUGAAACCAAAAGGUCAAGAAGAUCAGGGAGACAGUCAUUAGAGGUUUCUGCAGUCCCAGUAAAGAAGACCUGUACGUCACCUACAUUCUGGCAGCCACAGACCUCGUGGUUCUGGACAGAUCCUGUAUAAAUUUGGAAUCGGGUCCCUAGGAGAAAGACAUCUGGCCCUACUUUGUUGUCAAGCUCUCCUAAUCACCAAAUCUACCACGAGGAAGACGGAUGACAUCACACUGCUGUUUGAUGUGGAGGUCAAGGCCAACAGGCGCUAGAUGAAACAGGCUGGGAGGAAGCUCUGUGGCACAGAAGCAACAGCCAGCACCCUGGGGAGCCUGGUACACAGCAAAAGGCAGAUCCAGCCCCAUCAGCUCCUGCUCCUCCAGGUUCUAUUUACCACUGAGGAAAGAGAGAAUCUGAUGAGAAUGCUGCAAGCUGGUCCCAGGGCAAGAUGGUUGCGCCAAGGAUGAUGAGACGACUAUUAAUACUACCUUCCCCACUUCCGGACCUGACAAGGGAUGGGACUAAACACAACUGAAGUGACCUUGCUGCCUAACCCAGAUUCCGACAUCAUCCAUGACUGCAUAGAGGUACUGCAGCAAGUGCAUGGAAUCUGACCAGAAUCGACUAACACCCCCUGGCUGGAUCCAGGCCUCACACACUUCAGGGAUGGCAGCAGCUUCAUCCAGGAAGGAACCAGGUAUGCAGGGAAUAGUGACAUUCUCAGAGACUAUCUGGGCCACAGACUUGCCCUCUUUCACCUCAGCACAAAAGGCUGAACUGACUUCCCUAACCAAGACAAUUAGGAAAAGACAAAACUAUCAAUGCUUAUUCGGACCGCCGUAUGCUUUUGCCAUGGUGUAGGUGGAAGAUUCUCCGUCCUGCCCAGCCCAGCAGGCCAGAUGAAUCUCUCCCACUUGUGGUCCCACAACCACUUACAAAAUAAUUAUUCAGUUAUAAAACUGUUUGGUCUAUGGCUCAGUCUUCUUGAUACCUAGGUUUUUCAUCUUAAAUUAACCUAUUUCUAUUAAUCUGUGUAUCGCCAUGUGUCUCAUGGCUUACUUGUACUUACAUCUUGCUCCUCUGGGCAGGUUGCAGCAUCCUUGAAAGAUGCAUUGCUUUGGAGAAGCUGUUUUGCUUUUGUUUCUACAGGAAACAAGAGGUUGUCGAUUCGUUCCAGGUUAAUAUGGAUCAGAUAUGGUCAAGGGAGACCUCCUGAAACUUGACAGGUGAUAUCUGUCAACAAAAGUUACUGAUGGUCUUCAGAGGACUUGGUCAUUACCUCAAAAUUUUCUCAGGGACUCCUGGGAUGCCUUCGCCCAAGGCCAACAAGAGGCAGUAUGGAGAAAACUAUGCCCACAUUCCCAAGAGCUGGGGUGUGGGUGGUCUUCAGUUAUUUGGUGGGUUAUGGAUGUUUGUCUUUGUUUAAAAUGUUGGU